Molecule: non-coding RNA, 45 nt
Organism: Schistosoma mansoni
Lineage: Eukaryota; Metazoa; Platyhelminthes; Trematoda; Strigeidida; Schistosomatidae
Source: Rfam
AUCCGGCUGAAGAGUCCCAUAUAAGACAAAACGCUCGUCCUCGAU